Molecule: long non-coding RNA, 757 nt
Filed under: Cricetulus griseus (Chinese hamster)
Lineage: Eukaryota; Metazoa; Chordata; Mammalia; Rodentia; Cricetidae
Description: lncRNA (ENSCGRG00015041860.1)
Source: RNAcentral
GCGGGAUUAAAAACAACUGCAGCUUUUAUUAGUAUGAUUUAAACGCUCAUAACAACCUCCUCAGCUUUGAGCUGCCCACUGUGCUUCAUAAACAUAGAGCCCAGGGCUUGUCUGUAGGUAGAUCACUGUGGUUACGCUGGGUGGUUUUUCUGCUGUUCUGGAAAUGAAUUGCUGUCUCUGCCUGUUCCCACCUGUGUUUGUAGCUCUAUCCUUAAACAGCCAAUUUCUUUUUCAUCACGGGUUUCCUGCUGUGUGUUUGAUGACCUUUGACCAACUAGCAGAGCUACAGCAGAUGCCCCGGAACUGGAGUAGAGAGCCACUUAUGGGUGCUAGGAACUGAAUCCAGGUCCUCUUCAAGAGCAACUCAUAUGCUCUUAGUGGCUGAGCCAUUUCUCCAGCCCGCUGAUUAUGUUAAUUGAGAGGAGAAGCCAUACCCAACCACUAUGAAUGGAACCAUUCCCUGGAUAGGGGUUCCUGAACUCUAUAGAGGAGAAAGGAAGCUGACAAUAGAAGCUGUGGUCUGUGUAACACCAGUACCUACUGGCCUCUCAAGGAGCACACUUUCCACUCUGGAUCCAUUCAGCAUCCAGUCAGCCCAGCUGAGAACCCCAGAGGAGGAAGCACCUGCUUGCCCUGACUUGAAGCUGCAGUUUGCUUGCCAUCCAAAAUGAGUCAUGAAGGCACCGUGGAGCGGAUUUUACUCAUCCCCCAGGAAUGGACUCUUGGAAGGCUCCGGAAUGACUAGCUUCAAGUGUUC